UACAGAGGUCCCCGAGCGUUGUUCGGAUUCACUGGGCGUAAAGGGUGCGUAGGUGGCUUUGCAAGUCUGAUGUGAAAUCUCCGGGCCCAACCCGGAAAUGGCAUUAGAAACUGCGGGGCUAGAGGCUUGGAGGGGGAACUGGAAUGCUCGGUGUAGCAGUGAAAUGCGUAGAGAUCGAGCGGAACACCAGUGGCGAAGGCGAGUUCCUGGACAAGUCCUGACACUGAGGCACGAAAGCCGGGGGAGCAAACAGGAUUAGAUACCCUAGUAGU
RNAcentral lists this ribosomal RNA (272 nucleotides) under uncultured bacterium. RNAcentral's name for it is "partial 16S ribosomal RNA". It matches the Rfam family "Bacterial small subunit ribosomal RNA", at positions 524 to 794 of the family's 1533-position model. The record is from RNAcentral.